This 481-nucleotide ribosomal RNA is filed under the name uncultured eukaryote. RNAcentral describes it as "SSU rRNA". It matches the Rfam family "Eukaryotic small subunit ribosomal RNA", at positions 317 to 883 of the family's 1831-position model. The record is from RNAcentral.
UGCUCUCGAUGGUAGUGUAUUGGACUACCAUGGCAGUCACGGGUAACGGAGAAUUAGGGUUCGAUUCCGGAGAAGGAGCCUGAGAAACGGCUACUACAUCUAAGGAAGGCAGCAGGCGCGUAAAUUACCCAAUCCUAAAUCAGGGAGGUAGUGACAAGAUAUAACAACGCGAUUAAAUGUCGCGAUUGUAGUGAGGGUAUUCUAAAAAUAGCUUCGAGUACGAUUGGAGGGCAAGUCUGGUGCCAGCAGCCGCGGUAAUUCCAGCUCCAAUAGCGUAUAUUAAAGUUGCUGCAGUUAAAAAGCUCGUAGUUGAACUUCAUGAGCAGUAGGUAGCUUACUACCUGCUCUCUACCAGUCUUUCGACUGUUACUGUGAGAAAAUUAGAGUGUUUCAAGCAGGCUAUUGCAGGAAUACAUUAGCAUGGAAUAACGAAUGUACCUACAAUUUGGUUAAUUGUAGAUUACUAUUAAUAGGGACAGUU